GAGUUUAAAAUUUGCUUCCCAACCCUGCCCUGGCGGAAAACCAGAAAACUUGCUCAGUUCUUGCAGCUUAAAAAAAGAAAAUACACGAACUGGGUGAACUGGUUUGAAUAAAGACAGGCCUGUUCUUGGAAGAUUGGGGUUGGAUUUUUUUUUUUUUUUUUUGGCCUUUGAUACUUGUAAAAGUGAGCAAAGAUGGGAACCGCAUUUACUACGUUAAGAGAUGGACUAGGAGCCUGUCCCUACACAAAAGAAAUGCCUCACCUCAGCCCACACUAACAACAACCUCAGCACACCCUAAUGGCUUCCCUACCUGUUGCUGCCAUCUCAGGUGGGUUGGGUAGGAUAAAUAUGGUAAAGUGACCCGCAUGACACCCCUGUCUGAGCAGGCUCCUGAACUCUCUCCUACUCUCAAGCCACCUUCCA
Molecule: long non-coding RNA, 423 nt
Filed under: Cricetulus griseus (Chinese hamster)
Lineage: Eukaryota; Metazoa; Chordata; Mammalia; Rodentia; Cricetidae
Description: lncRNA (ENSCGRG00015025000.2)
Source: RNAcentral